AAGGCACUAGUAAAACUAUUACCCCGCCUUGUCAAGACGGAAUCGUGGGUUAAACCCCCGCGUGCCUUA
RNAcentral lists this transfer RNA (69 nucleotides) under Ilisha striatula (banded ilisha). RNAcentral describes it as "tRNA-Asp". The record is from RNAcentral. Lineage: Eukaryota; Metazoa; Chordata; Actinopteri; Clupeiformes; Pristigasteridae.